CUACCAUGCAGUCGACGAUGAUGCCCAGCUUGCUGGGUGGAUUAGUGGCGAACGGGUGAGUAACACGUGAGUAACCUGCCCCUGACUCUGGGAUAAGCGUUGGAAACGACGUCUAAUACUGGAUAUGAUCACUGGCCGCAUGGUCUGGUGGUGGAAAGAUUUUUUGGUUGGGGAUGGACUCGCGGCCUAUCAGCUUGUUGGUGAGGUAAUGGCUCACCAAGGCGACGACGGGUAGCCGGCCUGAGAGGGUGACCGGCCACACUGGGACUGAGACACGGCCCAGACUCCUACGGGAGGCAGCAGUGGGGAAUAUUGCACAAUGGGCGAAAGCCUGAUGCAGCAACGCCGCGUGAGGGAUGACGGCCUUCGGGUUGUAAACCUCUUUUAGUAGGGAAGAAGCGAAAGUGACGGUACCUGCAGAAAAAGCACCGGCUAACUACGUGCCAGCAGCCGCGGUAAUACGUAGGGUGCAAGCGUUGUCCGGAAUUAUUGGGCGUAAAGAGCUCGUAGGCGGUUUGUCGCGUCUGCUGUGAAAUCCCGAGGCUCAACCUCGGGCUUGCAGUGGGUACGGGCAGACUAGAGUGCGGUAGGGGAGAUUGGAAUUCCUGGUGUAGCGGUGGAAUGCGCAGAUAUCAGGAGGAACACCGAUGGCGAAGGCAGAUCUCUGGGCCGUAACUGACGCUGAGGAGCGAAAGCAUGGGGAGCGAACAGGAUUAGAUACCCUGGUAGUCCAUGCCGUAAACGUUGGGCGCUAGAUGUAGGGACCUUUCCACGGUUUCUGUGUCGUAGCUAACGCAUUAAGCGCCCCGCCUGGGGAGUACGGCCGCAAGGCUAAAACUCAAAGGAAUUGACGGGGGCCCGCACAAGCGGCGGAGCAUGCGGAUUAAUUCGAUGCAACGCGAAGAACCUUACCAAGGCUUGACAUACACCGGAACGGCCAGAGAUGGUCGCCCCCUUGUGGUCGGUGUACAGGUGGUGCAUGGUUGUCGUCAGCUCGUGUCGUGAGAUGUU
Molecule: ribosomal RNA, 1011 nt
Filed under: Curtobacterium sp. WB20-15
Lineage: Bacteria; Bacillati; Actinomycetota; Actinomycetes; Micrococcales; Microbacteriaceae
Description: bacterial SSU rRNA
Rfam family: Bacterial small subunit ribosomal RNA
Source: RNAcentral